RNAcentral lists this ribosomal RNA (550 nucleotides) under uncultured spirochete. RNAcentral's name for it is "bacterial SSU rRNA". It matches the Rfam family "Bacterial small subunit ribosomal RNA", at positions 8 to 554 of the family's 1533-position model. The record is from RNAcentral. Lineage: Bacteria; Pseudomonadati; Spirochaetota; Spirochaetia; Spirochaetales.
AGACUUUGAUCCUGGCUCAGAACGAACGCUGGCGGCNCGUUUUAAGCAUGCAAGUCGAACGGUAGAAAGGCUUCGGUCUUUUGAGAGUGGCGAACGGGUGAGUAACACGUAGGUGAUCUACCUUGAGGUUGGGGAUAGCCCAUGGAAACAUGGGGUAAUACCGAAUACGACCUGGAGUCGAAUCCAGGUGAAAGGAGCUAUGGCUCCGCCUUGAAGAUGAGCCUGCGGCUGAUUAGGUAGUUGGUGGGGUAAUGGCCUACCAAGCCGACGAUCAGUAGCCGGCCUGAGAGGGUGAACGGCCACACUGGGACUGAGACACGGCCCAGACUCCUACGGGAGGCAGCAGCUAAGAAUCUUCCGCAAUGGGCGAAAGCCUGACGGAGCGACGCCGCGUGAACGAAGAAGCCGGAAGGUUGUAAAGUUCUUUUCUUGGGGAGGAAUAANCAUCGGAGGGAAUGCCGGUGUGAUGACCUGAACCAAGGAAUAACCCCCGCUUAUUUCGUGCCACAACCCGCGGUACACCGGAAGGGCAAGCGUUGUUCGGAAUUAU